This 362-nucleotide ribosomal RNA is filed under the name uncultured bacterium. RNAcentral describes it as "partial 16S ribosomal RNA". It matches the Rfam family "Bacterial small subunit ribosomal RNA", at positions 338 to 697 of the family's 1533-position model. The record is from RNAcentral.
CCUACGGGUGGCAGCAGUGAGGAAUAUUGGUCAAUGGACGCAAGUCUGAACCAGCCAUGCCGCGUGCAGGAAGACAGCUCUAUGAGUUGUAAACUGCUUUUGUACGAGGGUAAACGCAGAUACGCGUAUCUGUUUGAAAGUAUCUUACUAAUAAGGAUCGGCUAACUCCGUGCCAGCAGCCGCGGUAAUACGGAGGAUUCAAGCGUUAUCCGGAUUUAUUGGGUUUAAAGGGUGCGUAGGCGGUCGGCUAAGUUAGAGGUGAAAUCCCGAGGCUCAACGUCGGAAUUGCAUGUGAUACUGUUCGGCUAGAGAGUAGUUGAGGUAGGCGGAAUGAAUGGUGUAGCGGUGAAAUGCUUAGAGAU